RNAcentral lists this ribosomal RNA (293 nucleotides) under uncultured bacterium. Its description in RNAcentral is "partial 16S ribosomal RNA". It matches the Rfam family "Archaeal small subunit ribosomal RNA", at positions 455 to 747 of the family's 1478-position model. The record is from RNAcentral.
GUGCCAGCCGCCGCGGUUAUACCGGCAGCCCGAGUGAUGGCCGAUAUUAUUGGGCCUAAAGCGUCCGUAGCUGGCCGAACAAGUCCGUCGGGAAAUCCACGUGCUUAACACGUGGGCGACCGGCGGAAACUGUGUGGCUUGGAACCGGAAGGCUCAGAGAGUACGUCCGGGGUAGGAGUGAAAUCCCGUAAUCCCGGACGGACUACCGAUGGCGAAAGCACUCUGAGAAGACGGCUUCGACAGUGAGGGACGAAAGCUCGGGUCUCAGACCGGAUUAGAAACCCCUGUAGUCC